RNAcentral lists this ribosomal RNA (607 nucleotides) under uncultured fungus. RNAcentral describes it as "eukaryotic LSU rRNA". The stretch from base 179 to 333 matches the Rfam family "5.8S ribosomal RNA". The record is from RNAcentral. Lineage: Eukaryota; Fungi.
UCCGUAGGUGAACCUGCGGAAGGAUCAUUAACAAAUCUGCUUGGUCUAGCUAGCUAGUGCAGUAAUGUGCUAGCUAGCAGAUCACAUUGACUCGGGCUCGGCUGCACUUGUGUAGCCGGGCUUAGAGACAUUCACGCUUGUUGGGUUUGACUGAGUCAUUAUGUGCCAAAAUAAAUACAACUUUUAACAAUGGAUCUCUUGGCUCUUGCAACGAUGAAGAACGCAGUAAAGUGCGAUAUCUAAUGUGAUUUGCAUGAAUCUGUGAGUCAUCAAGUCUUUGAACGCAACUUGCACCUCUUGGGUCAACUAAGAGGUAUGUCUGUUUGAGAACCUUAUCCAUCUUGUCUCUAGCUAGAGGCAGAAUUGGGGUCGCAGCUCGCAAGAGGUGGACCUUGAAAUGCAGCAUGGAAAGGGCAUCAGUGACCUUGGCUAUGUGCUAGAGAUCGAUUAAUUGGUCUUGUCAUAGCCUUGGCUACUGAGGCUCGCUCGCUUGUCGAGCACUCUUUCAAUUAGGUCUCAAAUCAGGCAGGAUUACCCGCUGAACUUAAGCAUAUCAAUAAGGCGGGAGGGGAAGGUCGGACUGGCCAAGGGCACACAGGGGGGGAUA